RNAcentral lists this ribosomal RNA (354 nucleotides) under uncultured bacterium. RNAcentral describes it as "bacterial SSU rRNA". It matches the Rfam family "Bacterial small subunit ribosomal RNA", at positions 8 to 365 of the family's 1533-position model. The record is from RNAcentral.
AGAGUUUGAUCCUGGCUCAGGACGAACGCUGGCGGCGUGCUUAACACAUGCAAGUCGAACGGUGAAGUCCCUUCGGGGGCGGAUCAGUGGCGAACGGGUGAGUAACACGUGGGCAAUCUGCCCCUCACUGUGGGAUAACUCCGGGAAACCGGGGCUAAUACCGCAUAUGAAGCCUGGCGGCAUCGCCGGGUUUGGAAAGUUUUUCGGUGAGGGAUGAGCCCGCGGCCUAUCAGCUUGUUGGUGAGGUAAUGGCUCACCAAGGCGACGACGGGUAGCCGGCCUGAGAGGACGACCGGCCACACUGGGACUGAGACACGGCCCAGACUCCUACGGGAGGCAGCAGUGGGGAAUAUU